RNAcentral lists this ribosomal RNA (204 nucleotides) under uncultured bacterium. RNAcentral's name for it is "partial 16S ribosomal RNA". It matches the Rfam family "Bacterial small subunit ribosomal RNA", at positions 1297 to 1500 of the family's 1533-position model. The record is from RNAcentral.
AUUGCAGCCUGCAACUCGGCUGCAUGAAGCUGGAAUCGCUAGUAAUCGCAGAUCAGAAUGCUGCGGUGAAUACGUUCCCGGGUCUUGUACACACCGCCCGUCACACCAUGGGAGUUGGGAAUGCCCGAAGUCAGUGACCCAACCGCAAGGAGGGAGCUGCCGAAGGCAGGCUUGAUAACUGGGGUGAAGUCGUAACAAGGUACC